RNAcentral lists this long non-coding RNA (3349 nucleotides) under Homo sapiens (human). RNAcentral describes it as "HSALNT0202739". The stretch from base 2444 to 2536 matches the Rfam family "Y RNA". Lineage: Eukaryota; Metazoa; Chordata; Mammalia; Primates; Hominidae. The record is from RNAcentral.
GUAAAGUUCCACUAUAGUUGAAAAACUAAGUAUAUAAAACAUAAAAGAAUGACUUUUCUCAUAGGGUUUUAGUUUUGUUGUCUUUUAGAUGACACGAGAGAAAUCUUCAAUAAAUGCAGUUAGAAAGAAAAAAGGAAAGAGGCUUAGUCAUUAUUCUCUUUCUGAUGAAGUCCUAUCACAAACUAAAAGUUUUCUCAAUUUAUCUAACACUCUUUAGAAGAGGCACAAAAUGAAACAAAUGGUAAUUUUUAAGAGCACAAAUACUUACUCUGUUCUGCUUAAAAUAAAAUUACAUAUUCCCUCGUAAAAGAAAAGAUGUCGAAGUUAGCACAGAAGAAUGAAUUCAUGUUAUUAAGAAUUCACAAUUAAAAUAUUAAAAUUCUGACAUUAUAAAAAUGCUCAUAAACCCAUAACCAUCAUUUGAUGUCAGGAUGAUAUUAUAGUCAUUAAAAAAUAAUAUCACCUAGAAAUUGCACUUCGAACAAAGAAAUUAGAUAGAAGAAUUUUAUUAAAUAAAAUUACCAUUCCUAAAGAUGUUUGGAAUCUACUUUGGGUAACUUUUGCAUUUGUGAACAGUAAAUAUGAGCAUUAAGUACAUAUUUAAACCUGGUGAGUUACAUUUACUUUUUAUUUUUGUCACAUAUUUAGUUCUCCAGUUUGUAAGCAAUACUAGCAAAUUUAUAUUUAGAACAGCUUUCAAUUUUUAUAUGCACAUUUAAACGUGUUAAAGAUACAGUUUUCAGCAAUGUGAUAACUUAUUAGGUACCCAUACAUAGUCAACUUAGUACUGUGGAUGAAUUGUGUUCACCUAUAUAUUCAUCAAUAAAAUAUAGAACAUGCUUAUUUAUUUUUGUCUACAUAGUAAAGUGACAUUGACAGUGAACAUUUAAAUGCAAGUCAGAAUCUAUCCCUUAGCUUUACUUCACCUGGGAUUAGAAGCAAGUAUCAGUAAUGAUCCAGUUUGUGCAGUGUUAAGAAUACACAAGGUACCUGCAAAUUUAUUACAAAUAUAUUUAAUCACACAAAUGACUUUAUAAUAACAAUAAAGCGUCAUUUAAAAAGCAUAUUUUUCUCUGUGCCAUGAGAAAACAAAAAAGUACACCUUUUUCUUUAUGAUGGAGAAAAUGAUAUUUACUACUUUACGGAGCAGACAUUUGGCCUUAUCAUAUUGCAAAUGUGGAAACGAGGAUUUUAUGAAUGGGUUUCUUUUCAGAUUUUAGGGGAUAGGUAAAUCUCGUAUAGCAAAUUAUCACUUUUAUAUACUCCAGUAAACUGUUAUUUUUCACUAUCCUUAUUAUGUAUGUUGACUCUCUAAGAAAACAUUUUGAAAUCUCAGGGUUUAUUGUAGUUCCACUGGAAACAUCUUCAUUUUAACCAGAAAAAUAUUUGCUGGAAAAAUAUUUUCCACACCUAUUUUUAGUCCCAGUAAUAUACAUUUAUUUAACUAUCUGUCUUAAUUUGUAAAUAACAGUUCUGCUAUAAAAAUAUUUCAGUUCUUAUGAGUAGAAUGAUCUAAGAUAUAGAACAUUCUUGCCCAGCUAUUUAUUCCAUUUCUAUGAUCAAGAAUUAAUGUUUCAUGUUUUCUUUCUCACUGUCACUUAUGUUUAAAACGCCUUUCUCUUCUCAUUCAACUAAACCUCCUCGCCUUCUUCAUAGUCUUUCUGAAGUCCUACCUUUUAUAAACAUUUUCAAAUAACUAAAAUGGGACAGUUGCCCUUUAGAGUAAAUGGCAUCGGAUGUUGAUUUCUCUGGUAGGGAUAAUAAUGGCCCACCAAAGAUGUCCAUAUCCUAAACCCCUGGAACUGGUGAAUAUGUUAUCUUACAUAGGAAAAGAAAAUAAAGGGUGCAGAUGGAAUGAAGGCUGUUAAUGAGCUGACCUUAAAAUAAGCAGAUUAUUAUUGCAGUGGACCCAAUAUAAUUAUAGAGAGUCUUAAAAACAGAAGCAGAAGAUUGAGUCAGUUAGAGAUGCAAUGAUAGAUGAAGAAACAGAUGAGGUUUAAAAUUUGAGACAUCUUGACCCUUAGUUGCUGGAUUUGAAGAUGGAGGAAGAGAGCUUUAGUAAAGUCAUCUGAGUGGUCUCUAGAGGCUGGGACCAGCCCUCAACUGACAACCAGAAAAGUAAUGGAUGCUCAGGCUACAACAGCAGGGAAAUAAAUUCUGUCAACAAUCUGGAUGACCAUAGACAUGAAUUCUCCCCCAGAGCUUCCGGACAGAAAUGCAGGCUUACUGGACACAUUGAUUUUAGCCCAGUAAGACCCAUUUUCAAAGUUCUGAACUCCAGAAAUAUAAGACAAUACAUUUCUAUUGUUUUAAGCCUAUAGAGAAGGUUGGUUCUGUUCCACUGUGGCAAACUGAGCCAAAGGCUUUUACCACCCACUCUUCCCAGAAUUCCAUUGAAAUAUUAGUAAAUAGAAGAAUAUAUUCAUAAAAGACUGAAAAACAAGGCUGGUCUGAUGGUAGUGGGUUAUCAAAACAUAGCAUUAGUGACACUAAAGUUAGUCUACAACCCCUCACUGCUAAAUUUGACUGGCUUAAAAGAAAGAAAUCAAAACCAAGAGAAGGAACAUCCACAGAUAUUUAAUGAAUUGUAGAAGAUAGAAAAUAGUUGGGAACAUAUUGAUGAGCAAGCUGAAGUGGAAGAAUUAGAGACCCAAACCUGCACAGACAAGCCUGUGGUGGAAGCGAGCAUGGGCAUUUUCUGCCAAGUCCUGGAAGACUGGCAGUUUAAAACUAGAGAGUGAGAAGUGAGACAGAAAUCACAGUGACUAUGAGAAGAAAUAUCUAUAGAUCAGCUGUGCAAGUUUCUUCAUUUUCAUCCCCAGGUAAAAAAUUAGUGGAAUAAUCUUCCAGAGGAGUACGGUUUCCAGAGUGGGGGUUGUCCACUGGUGUAAGCCGUCUUCAGAGUGAAAGAUGGGAAAGAAGACUUCCUGCCUGUUCCUGGAUCUUGUACUUAAGGGGAAAGAGUCAAUAGACUUAAUUAUACUUUUGUCCCCAGGUUAUGGGACAAUCCUGUGGAAAGGUCUUCUUCCAGAGGUGAGCCUUUCGUUGAGACUGAGCUCCUGGCUCAUAAUUUGACUGCAGCCUCAAGAGAAUCUUUAACAAGAGGCACCGAGCUAAGCCACAUCCAGACUCUUGACCCAAAGAAACAAUGAGAUAGUAAACUGUGAUAUAUUUAUUUUUGUAUUAUUUAUUUUAUGUAUUAUUAUUGUAUUAUUUACAUUAUUAUGAAGGUAAUUUAUUAUGCAGCAAUAAUUAAUAUACAUAUUUAUAUGUGUAUUUACACACACAAAUAUAUAAUUUGUCUAUUGACUUUGUAAAUUUUGAAUUUUUGUGUAAUCAAAUAUGUCUC